UGGUUGCGGGGGCUGGAUUUGAACCAACGACCUUCGGGUUAUGAGCCCGACGAGCUACCAAGCUGCUCCACCCCGCG
RNAcentral lists this transfer RNA (77 nucleotides) under Frischella perrara. RNAcentral describes it as "tRNA-Met". The record is from RNAcentral. Lineage: Bacteria; Pseudomonadati; Pseudomonadota; Gammaproteobacteria; Orbales; Orbaceae.